This is a long non-coding RNA of Catharus ustulatus (Swainson's thrush), 594 nucleotides long. RefSeq lists it as uncharacterized. The record is from RefSeq and is a predicted model, not a curated record. The transcript is spliced from 4 exons. NCBI's taxonomy places the organism in Eukaryota, Metazoa, Chordata, Aves, Passeriformes, Turdidae.
GCGGUGGCGGCGCAGCUUUUGUGGUGCCCCGGUGGGACCGCGGCCGGCCUCGGCCUCUCCCGGCCGGCUCGUUGGCAAGCCCCGCGUCCCUCAGGCGCAGGGAAGCGAUGCUGGUCGAGGCGAAUCCACAGCUGCGCCUUCCCCCGCCAUGUUACGGCGGGGCUCCCUCAGGGCCGGUUCCGCUUCCCCCCGGCGCUGAGCGGCGGCGAAACACGAGCGAGCCUGGCAGUGGAUAAAAACAUGAGGUGACCAAGAUGUUGUGACCAGAAAUGAAGGGUGAUCCUUCAGAAAAAAGCUGCCCAAGCAAACUUCAGCCACCUUUCUGAGUUGAAGCAGCAGCGUGUGGAGUGUGGCUGAGCCCUGUCUGCAUUUCCCCCUUUGCCAGGGCAGCCCCGAGCUGCAGAGCAGAUCAUUCCUUGAGCUGCAGGAUGUCUGACAAACGUGGCAACUGAGAUCUGGUUGGCAGCAUCCACGUCUGAUGGUUUGGAGAUUCCUAAAACUUGAUCAUCUGUGUUUUCUCUACAUGGUUAAGAAGAAUUUAAAUUAAAAUUAAAAAAAACCAACUAAAUAAAGAUACCACCUACAAGACUGAAA